Molecule: transfer RNA, 73 nt
Filed under: Stegodyphus mimosarum
Lineage: Eukaryota; Metazoa; Arthropoda; Arachnida; Araneae; Eresidae
Rfam family: tRNA
About the family: Transfer RNA (tRNA) molecules are approximately 80 nucleotides in length. Their secondary structure includes four short double-helical elements and three loops (D, anti-codon, and T loops). Further hydrogen bonds mediate the characteristic L-shaped molecular structure. tRNAs have two regions of fundamental functional importance: the anti-codon, which is responsible for specific mRNA codon recognition, and the 3' end, to which the tRNAs corresponding amino acid is attached (by aminoacyl-tRNA synthetases). tRNAs cope with the degeneracy of the genetic code in two manners: having more than one tRNA (with a specific anti-codon) for a particular amino acid; and 'wobble' base-pairing, i.e. permitting non-standard base-pairing at the 3rd anti-codon position.
Source: Rfam by way of RNAcentral
GCCUUCGUAGUGUGGUGGUCAGUACACUCGAUGCGUAAUCGAGAGGUCCGUGGUUCAAUUCCCGGCGAAGGCG